RNAcentral lists this ribosomal RNA (253 nucleotides) under uncultured bacterium. RNAcentral's name for it is "partial 16S ribosomal RNA". It matches the Rfam family "Bacterial small subunit ribosomal RNA", at positions 524 to 776 of the family's 1533-position model. The record is from RNAcentral.
GACAUAGGUUGCGAACGUUAUCCGGAAUUAUUGGGCCUAAAGCAUCCGUAGCCGGUUCUGCAAGUCCCCCGUUAAAUCCAGCUGCUCAACAGAUGGGCCGCGGAGGAUACUACAGAGCUAGGAGGCAGGAGAGGCAAGCGGUACUCAGUGGGUAGGGGUAAAAUCCGUUGAUCCAUUGAAGACCACCAGUGGCGAAGGCGGCUUGCCAGAAUGCGCUCGACGGUGAGGGAUGAAAGCUGGGGGAGCAAACCGG